CGGAGGGUGCAAGCGUUAUCCGGAUUCACUGGGUUUAAAGGGUGCGUAGGCGGGUUGGUAAGUCCGUGGGGAAAUCCCCAAGCUUAACUUGGGAACUGCCGUGGAUACUAUCAAUCUUGAAUAUCGUGGAGGUAAGCGGAAUAUGUCAUGUAGCGGUGAAAUGCUUAGAUAUGACAUAGAACACCAAUUGCGUAGGCAGCUUACUACACGAUCAUUGACGCUGAGGCACGAAAGCGUGGGGAGCAAACAGG
Molecule: ribosomal RNA, 251 nt
Filed under: uncultured bacterium
Lineage: Bacteria
Description: partial 16S ribosomal RNA
Rfam family: Bacterial small subunit ribosomal RNA
Source: RNAcentral